Grammomys surdaster is the source of this 982-nucleotide long non-coding RNA. RefSeq lists it as uncharacterized. The transcript is spliced from 4 exons. NCBI's taxonomy places the organism in Eukaryota, Metazoa, Chordata, Mammalia, Rodentia, Muridae. The record is from RefSeq and is a predicted model, not a curated record.
CUGCUACUUCCUGCUUCCGGCGUUGCUCACAGCCUCUUAGGAGAAAGAAUGAGCCACCCUUGGAAUGGCGGCACUUCUCUUGAGAUGGGAUGUCUCUUACGUCCCUUCCACAGAUGAGAAGACUGAGGAACAGAGAGGACCAAGAACUUAACCUAGCAGGGCCCCAGGGAAGCCUCCCAGGCAGGUCUGGCCCUGGCUCUCACUCUCUCCUGGCUGUUGCUCACCAGAAAGGACCCGGAGCAACUCCCAGAGUGCAGCAUGGGAAGGAAGACCCAGGGUGUCUGCCCUACAGCACUGGAGUAGAGGAGUCCUCAAAGAAGCCUCGUUCCUGUUUUGGGGAGACUGCUAGACUGUCUCCCUGGCUUCUAGGGAGCCUAGGUGUUUUACAGGCUCCCUGCUGCAGCUGUGGGGCCUGCCUGCUCCCUCCAAGGAGAUGUUGCUUCGAGAGGAAGUAUGACGGCUCUCAGGGCCCCAAGUGGCCGCCCAGGGGCCAGCCUCAGGGGCCUGGAGUCCCUAGGGACUACUCAACACCUGCUCCAUUUCUCCUUUGCCCACCCUGCCUCAGAUGGAUUCAAGAACAGACCUAAGGUGGCCUGUUGGAGCAAACAGAAAUAAGGGUAGCUGAGUAAAUUUGAGCAUCAGAUAAAUAACAUUUUAGUGUCAGUACACACCCCAUGCAAUAUUUGAGACAUAUGUUUAAAAACGGGUUGGUACUUAUCAAGAAUUCAAAUUUAAUCGGAUGCCUGGAAAUUCAGGCAGGCCCCUCAUUUUAUUUUUAAAUUCUAUAAAUGUCCCUCAUUUCUGCUUAUUCAUGGGAGACACUUAGGAAUAAGAGCCUACAGCACACAUUAAUAUUCUCCUGUUAUUAUGAAAUUAAUCCAGUUUUAAAGCUUUGGAACAUUAUUGAUUUUUGGAAACAUUUCUGCAACUUUUUUAUUAACUUCAUAUUUCACAGUUUAUAAUAAAGACUUCCAGUGGAUAA